Molecule: long non-coding RNA, 2954 nt
Organism: Bos grunniens (domestic yak)
Lineage: Eukaryota; Metazoa; Chordata; Mammalia; Artiodactyla; Bovidae
Source: Ensembl
UGAGGCUGUGGAACUGGAUAGAAGGUAGUGGAAAAGAGCAGUGGGCAGUGGUGCUGAGGUUGGAGAAAGGGACGUGUUUAUGCCUCUUCUUCCCUUACCUUCUCCAAGACACAGCUCUAUUAUUUUUGCUUGCUCUGUUGAUGAUUCAAAAUUUUAGAGUCUUUCUGUGUCCCAGUGUGUCUAUGGUCUGAGCGACCCACCUGGUUCACCUUGGCUUUUGCGGAGAUGAAACACUUCCGGUUUGGUUUUCAGAUGUGAAGCUGCUCUCACUGCGUCUCCAAAGUGAAUCCUGCAGAGGCAUCCACCCCACAUACAGGGGCCUUGGGUGCAGGUAGCAGGGUGAACCUGCAGCUGCUGGGCUGGCCCGGCCCCCAUGGCCGCUCAGCAGUUCACAGGCCUGCGGGGUCCUCCCCACUGCUGAGGGUCCUUGCUAUUGAGAGCUAGAGUUGGGGAGGCCUCUCAGGCAGAACCUGCUGACACCCUCUGCCAUGUUGGAGGGUGCAGGGCUGGGGCUCAUCUGCCCAGGGACUGCUUUCACUGGGGAGGGGCUAGGGCUACAGAUGGCGAGUGCGCCUUGGGAAUGGUGGUUCUGGGGGUCCUGGGCACAUGCUCACUGGAGAGCAGGUCUGGUGUUCUCCAGCUUGUCUCCAGUUGGAGAUAACAUUAAUAUCGCACACUUGCAGCUUUUUCAGGGCACUAGAAGAAUUGAGACUUUCUCUUCAAGGAACAAUGAGAAUUUGUUCUGAGCCUUUGUGAUAAGAAAGGAGAAAGAAAAUCAUUCCUAGAGGCAGGAGAGGGGUGGAAAAUCAUCUCAGCAAAAGGCACAAACUUCUCAUUAUACAUUAUUAUGCUUUCAAAUAAGCAUUUGUGCAAGCCCAUUCUUUGGUUUAAAAUAAAAUGGGUCUUAAGUCUUAAAAGACUAUCUUGGCCAUGUCUUGUUUGGGGAGGAUAAAAAUGAUGGGAGGAAGUUGGUAGAUGAGCUCUUUUGUCCUCGGGCCCAGCCUGGCAAGCUGGGUGCAAGCUGUCACGUGCAGGGUGAUGCUGAGUUCUGCCACAAUCCGUCUUUUGCAGUGAGUGUAGUAGGAAAAUCCCUUGUUAGGAGGAUCCCCAGUGAUUUAGUAAUUACCCCUCACUCCCAGAUGAGAAAGCCAGGACAGAUGGCCCGCACUAAAAUCCCUAUGGAAUGUGAUGUCAUAAUGAGUUUCUUGGUAUAUUUUGAAAUAUGAAAAUACUUCUUCCAGGAGGCAGUUGCAAAGUUAGAAUUGCAGGACUCCAAAGAUAAACUCUGUUGAUUCCCUCUCCCUUUUUAUUAAUUAAAAAAGAAGAAAAAAACCCAAACCAAAAUUUAGGAGCAAUAUUUAAUAUAUAAAGACAAAAGAAGCAGAGACUGCCUAUAUCCUGCAACAUUUAGAGUCUUAGUGAAAAGUCAACACUUAUUUACAGAAGGUGUGUCUGAGUGGAGCUUCAGAGGUUCUGGCUGUACUGAUUUAGCGGAACCUAUGAAAAAGGAAAGAGGUAAGUCUGUGAAUCAGGCAGCCACUGAGCUGGGUGCUUAAAUGAACAGGCUCUGGACUGUUCUGAGCUCAGCAACCCAUUCCCUGGGUGACCCUGGGCAGCUACAGGCCCACUCCAGGUCUCACAGGAAAAAUGGAGAUAUGAAUAGUAUCUCCCUGAAGGGCUGCUAUGUUAGGAAAGCAAACUAGCUCAGGGCUGGCCCGCAGGGACCUCUGGUCACUCCUGUUAUCAUGAGGGCUUGCAGCUGCACCUGCGCCAGUAUGUAUUACAGAAAAGACUUUGAUAUUUGCACUGAGUUUUUUAAAUUGGGGGAAACAACCUCUUUGUCUCUUACUCCUCUUUUCCUUUUUCUUCUUCUCUUUUCUUGGCUGCUUCUUCCCUGCCUUUCUACCCCAAGUGUUGGCACUUCUCUCUCUCCUGCUCCCACAUCUGAAUCAUCAGUGGGCUGCACUGAGCUACCACUGACCUGAAGCAUCAGUGGGCUGCACUGAGCCACCACUGACCGGGUCCAACCUGGUCCUCGGUCUCCCCUUUCCCACUUCACACCUCCUGGUGCUGUUGCUCCUUACCUAAUAAUAAGCUUGUUAAAACUGACUCCAUUCCUUCUACCAAUUUCCAGCUUUCCACACUGAGAGUCUGCUCCCUCCUUUCUUGUCUAAUCUUCCUUAUCAUUCACUCUGAAGGCUUGGCCCUGCUCCUUAACUCUUUUUCAGGCAGUCUCUGCGGCCUCUGGCCUCAGCCACCGUGCCCCCUCCUUAAUUGCUAUCCUUCCACAUCAGCAGAAGUUGUGUCUCUCUCUAUUGGAAUCCUAUGACAUUGUCUAAUACCUCCUCUUUAAAAAAAGAAAUCCUGUGUCAUUUAUCCUGCAAAAGAAAAUCACAUCCACAGAAAAGAAAGUCAUUUCAGUUGUAACUUGUUUGCAAAGACCCACACAAACUUCUUGAAUCAUACAGAAGGUCUUCGUCGUGAAAUUUAAACCACUCCACUCCCCACUGCCCAACCCAGAGGGUCUUCCAUCUCCUGUUCUUCAACAGUUUCCCCACGAGACCUCAGCCUCCAGAUCGCCCUUCCCCAACGUGGUGAACUGAGUGUUUUUCUGUGCUCAAAUAAGCUGGUCUGGGAGAGCAUGGAUCUGGUCAUCUUUUAUGAGCACAUUAGUCUUCUGCCUAAUAUAAGCUAUUGAAAGCACUCAGCUACUUGGGAAGCAGCAGAAAGUUGUUAGAUUCAGUUGUGUCUUACAGCUCUGAUGACCUUUGAUUUGUACCUUUUUUAAAGAUGGUUUUGGUCAACCAAACCAUUAAGGGCUUACCCUAUCAAGCCCUUAAUAUUCUCUCAAAGUUGAGAUAGGUCUAUUUUCUUGGCUGCUUCUUCCCUGCCUUUCUACCCCAAGUGUUGGCACUUCUCUCUCUCCUGCUCCCACAUCUGAAUCAUCAGUGGGC